RNAcentral lists this ribosomal RNA (775 nucleotides) under uncultured bacterium. RNAcentral describes it as "bacterial SSU rRNA". It matches the Rfam family "Bacterial small subunit ribosomal RNA", at positions 64 to 868 of the family's 1533-position model. The record is from RNAcentral.
GAACGAGAAAGCCAGGGGCAACUUCUGUGAGUACAGUGGCGUACGGGUGAGUAACACGUGGGUAAUCUACCUCUUAGUGGGGAAUAACCCUGGGAAACCGGGGCUAAUACCGCAUAAGCCCGAGAGGGGAAAGUCGCAAGACGCUGAGAGAGGAGCCCGCGGCCGAUUAGCUAGUUGGCAGGGUAAAAGCCUACCAAGGCAGAGAUCGGUAGCCGGCCUGAGGGGGCACACGGCCACACUGGCACUGAAACACGGGCCAGACUCCUACGGGAGGCAGCAGUGGGGAAUCUUGCACAAUGGGGGAAACCCUGAUGCAGCGACGCCGCGUGAGCGAUGAAGCCCUUCGGGGUGUAAAGCUCUUUCGGCAGGGAAGAUGAUGACGGUACCUGCAGAAGCAGCUGCGGCUAACUACGUGCCAGCAGCCGCGGUAAUACGUAGGCAGCAAGCGUUGUUCGGAGUUACUGGGCGUAAAGGGUGUGUAGGCGGUCGUUUAAGUUUGGUGUGAAAUCUCCCGGCUCAACUGGGAGGGUGCGCCGAAUACUGAGCGGCUAGAGUGCGGGAGAGGAGAGUGGAAUUCCUGGUGUAGCGGUGAAAUGCGUAGAUAUCAGGAGGAACACCGGCGGUGUAGACGGCUCUCUGGACCGUAACUGACGCUGAGACACGAAAGCGUGGGUAGCAAACAGGAUUAGAUACCCUGGUAGUCCACGCCCUAACGAUGCAUAUUUGGGUGUGGGCAGUUCAUUCUGUCCGUGCCGGAGCUAACGCGUUAAAUAUG